Molecule: RNA transcript, 2043 nt
Organism: Poecile atricapillus (Black-capped chickadee)
Lineage: Eukaryota; Metazoa; Chordata; Aves; Passeriformes; Paridae
Gene: IAH1
Gene name: isoamyl acetate hydrolyzing esterase 1 (putative)
Exons: 7
Source: RefSeq, a predicted model, not a curated record
GGCCUUCUCCGGUCCGCCCCGUUUCCCGCUGCAGAGGAAGCGGCGAGGCCGCCGCCUCCCGCCGCCGCUCCCGGCGGAUGUCCGGCCGCGGCCAUGGCGCUGGCGGAGGCGGGAGCCCGCGGGCGGCUCCUGCGUUGGCCUCGCGUCCUCCUCUUCGGAGACUCCAUCACUGAGUACUCCUUCCAGGAAAACGGCUGGGGGGCAUACCUUGCUGAGAGACUGGUCAGAAAGUGUGAUGUUGUGAACCGCGGGAUCUCGGGGUACAACACCAGAUGGGCUAAAUUGGUCCUUCCAAGACUGAUCACUGAAAGUACAAGUGCUGACAGUAUUGUUGCAGUUACCAUUUUCUUUGGAGCUAAUGACAGUGCUUUGAAAGAGCUGAACCCUAAGCAACAUGUUCCUUUGGAGGAGUACGCCACCAACCUGAAGAGCAUGGUGCAGUACCUGAAGUCAGUAGACAUUACUGCAGACAGGAUUAUUUUGAUAACACCACCACCUCUUCAGGAAUCAGCUUGGGAAAAAGCAUGUCUUGCCAAAGGUGACAAACUGAACCGCUGCAAUGCCACCACCGGGCAGUACGCCCAGGCCUGUGUCCAGGUCGCCAGGGAAUGCGGCACGGACGUGCUCGACCUCUGGACCCUGAUGCAGAAGAAUCAGGAUUUCUCUUCCUAUUUGUCUGAUGGUCUUCAUCUGUCGACAAAAGGCAACAGCUUUGUAGCAGCUCAGCUUUGGUCACGCCUGGAAAACAAACUGUCUGCUCUUCCUUCACUGCUUCCUUAUUGGCGUGAUGUGGACCACACGAACCCUGAGGCCAGUCUUCUGUGACAUCCCUGCAGGGAGGAGCCGGGGCAGCCACCCAGACAGAGCCAGCCCAUUAUCCAGCAGCAUGCUGCAAACUGUGUCCUCAGGGAACAUGGCACUGGGCACUUCCCAGCAGUGCUCUUCUCUGUUCCCUUCUCUUGGUCUGUGGGAGAAUAAAGCAUGGUUUGGAAAAUAUCCAGAGAUUUCUAGGCAUAAAAGAAAUCCCCAAGGACCUCCGCAAAUGCUAAUACUGGGAAGGCUGAGAUGUUUACCUGCUACCAUUUCCCAGCUGCUCCAUCCUCAGCAGAUGAACUUUUGCUGGUGCAAGGAGACCAUUGGCUAUACCUGUGCUCUCCUGCCUCUGUGAUUUUCUCAAUUGAAUACAGGUAAGAAGCACUAAGAUAACUUUUCUCAUGGCACAACUAUGGGGCACUUGAACUAAGAUCACCCUCGGUUCUGUCACAGUAGAUGACAGAGGCACUCUGUCUCAGUGGUCUCCAGUAUGCUUCCUCCAAUGGUUGUACAAAGAAGAGUUCUGCAAGGCUUUUUUCCCCCCUCCCCUCACAGAACAACAUUUCCUUAACUGAAUAUUUCAGUUCUUAACAGGAACUGGAUUGUCAAAGCACAGGAAAGGUCACCCAAAACUAUGUCACAAGGUGCCCUGUGCUGGACUGUAAUUAAAAUUUAUCUUGGCAAUUUUUUGCUCUUUCCGUCUCCCAGCUCAGUAUCUGCAAGGCGAGAAGUGCUGCUGAUGGGCUCCUGGAGCAAUUGGAAGGCUAUAGCACAUCUGGGUGCUAGAAGCCAACUCCUGCAAACAGCCAUUCUACAGCAAAGACACUGCAUUUUGCAGAGAUUUUUGAGCCAUAUGCUUCAGUGACUCCACCUGGUUGCGAACAAGCAGCCUGUGGCUGGUGCUGCCGCGUGUGCUGUGCCAAGGGGAUGCCAGACAUGGGUGAAGGCUGUGCUCUGCAGAGCAGAGUGGCUUCCAGCCCCAGAGGGCUUCCUGCCCCUCUCUGCUGCACCAGAGGGGCUCUGCCAACAAGGCUCAGCUCUUACAAGAAGGAAGAAUCAGAUCCUGCCAUGCUGCAGUGCUUGGUAAGAGUGAACAGAGGCUUUUUCAGAAACCAGCUUCUCCUCACAUGCAUUCACCCCUCUGCAGCAUGGGGCUCUGGAGCUCUCUCUUACUACUCUUUUAGUAAAUACUCUGCAGACACCUGAUGUUCAGGUUUUCCAAGGCACAUG